Molecule: ribosomal RNA, 253 nt
Filed under: uncultured bacterium
Lineage: Bacteria
Description: partial 16S ribosomal RNA
Rfam family: Bacterial small subunit ribosomal RNA
Source: RNAcentral
UACAGAGGGGGCAAGCGUUGUUCGGAAUUACUGGGCGUAAAGGGCGCGUAGGCGGUUCGAUAAGUCCCGUGUGAAAUCCCUCGGCUCAACUGAGGAACUGCACGGGAAACUGACGGGCUUGAGUUCGGGAGAGGGAAGCGGAAUUCCGGGUGUAGCGGUGAAAUGCGUAGAUAUCCGGAGGAACACCGGUGGCGAAGGCGGCUUCCUGGACCGACACUGACGCUGAGGAGCGAAAGCGUGGGGAGCGAACAGG